AUGGAUGACAACCACUUCCCAAUUCUUAGCCGGAAUGUGCGAGGACUGAACAUGCCGGCUAAACGCGAUGUUGUGUGUGAAACGGCGACAACACACCAUCCAGCGAUACUAUGCCUCCAGGAAACCAAAAUUGAUGUCUGGUCGCCGGCCCUAGUCAAGGAUGUAGGAGGAGCGAGGCUGGCUGACUGCAUCGUCCUUCCGGCGAUAGGCACCAGGGGAGGGAUCACAGUUCUGUGGGAUAGCCAGAUCGUCUCGAUCGUUUCCCACGCUAUAGGAGAAUUUGCAAUCACUGCAAAAGUGAGCAUCCUGCGUUCGGCAACUGCGUUUUGGCUGACCACA
This 339-nucleotide ribosomal RNA is filed under the name Triticum aestivum (bread wheat). Its description in RNAcentral is "partial small subunit ribosomal RNA". The record is from RNAcentral. Lineage: Eukaryota; Viridiplantae; Streptophyta; Magnoliopsida; Poales; Poaceae.